Molecule: ribosomal RNA, 480 nt
Filed under: uncultured bacterium
Lineage: Bacteria
Description: bacterial SSU rRNA
Rfam family: Bacterial small subunit ribosomal RNA
Source: RNAcentral
AUUGAACGCUGGCGGAAUGCUUUACACAUGCAAGUCGAACGGUAGAGGGGGCAACCCCUCGAGAGUGGCGAACGGGUGAGUAAUAUAUCGGAACGUGCCCAGUCGUGGGGGAUAACGUAGCGAAAGUUACGCUAAUACCGCAUACGAUCUACGGAUGAAAGCGGGGGAUCGCAAGACCUCGCGCGAUUGGAGCGGCCGAUAUCAGAUUAGGUAGUUGGUGGGGUAAAGGCUCACCAAGCCAACGAUCUGUAGCUGGUCUGAGAGGACGACCAGCCACACUGGAACUGAGACACGGUCCAGACUCCUACGGGAGGCAGCAGUGGGGAAUUUUGGACAAUGGACGCAAGUCUGAUCCAGCCAUUCCGCGUGCAGGACGAAGGCCUUCGGGUUGUAAACUGCUUUUGUACAGAACGAAAAGGUCUCUAUUAAUACUAGGGGCUCAUGACGGUACUGUAAGAAUAAGCACCGGCUAACUACGUG